GCAGGCCUAACACAUGCAAGUCGAGCGGUAGAGAGAAGCUUGCUUCUCUUGAGAGCGGCGGACGGGUGAGUAAUGCCUAGGAAUCUGCCUGGUAGUGGGGGAUAACGUUCGGAAACGGACGCUAAUACCGCAUACGUCCUACGGGAGAAAGCAGGGGACCUUCGGGCCUUGCGCUAUCAGAUGAGCCUAGGUCGGAUUAGCUAGUUGGUGGGGUAAUGGCUCACCAAGGCGACGAUCCGUAACUGGUCUGAGAGGAUGAUCAGUCACACUGGAACUGAGACACGGUCCAGACUCCUACGGGAGGCAGCAGUGGGGAAUAUUGGACAAUGGGCGAAAGCCUGAUCCAGCCAUGCCGCGUGUGUGAAGAAGGUCUUCGGAUUGUAAAGCACUUUAAGUUGGGAGGAAGGGCCAUUACCUAAUACGUGAUGGUUUUGACGUUACCGACAGAAUAAGCACCGGCUAACUC
RNAcentral lists this ribosomal RNA (466 nucleotides) under rape rhizosphere bacterium m9042. RNAcentral describes it as "bacterial SSU rRNA". It matches the Rfam family "Bacterial small subunit ribosomal RNA", at positions 42 to 503 of the family's 1533-position model. The record is from RNAcentral.